AGUAAGGUCAGCUAAAUAAGCUUUCAGGCCCAUACCCCGAGAAUGCAGGUUAAACCCCUGCCCCUACUA
RNAcentral lists this transfer RNA (69 nucleotides) under Brachyhypopomus occidentalis. Its description in RNAcentral is "tRNA-Met". It matches the Rfam family "tRNA". Rfam says of the family: Transfer RNA (tRNA) molecules are approximately 80 nucleotides in length. Their secondary structure includes four short double-helical elements and three loops (D, anti-codon, and T loops). Further hydrogen bonds mediate the characteristic L-shaped molecular structure. tRNAs have two regions of fundamental functional importance: the anti-codon, which is responsible for specific mRNA codon recognition, and the 3' end, to which the tRNAs corresponding amino acid is attached (by aminoacyl-tRNA synthetases). tRNAs cope with the degeneracy of the genetic code in two manners: having more than one tRNA (with a specific anti-codon) for a particular amino acid; and 'wobble' base-pairing, i.e. permitting non-standard base-pairing at the 3rd anti-codon position. The record is from RNAcentral. Lineage: Eukaryota; Metazoa; Chordata; Actinopteri; Gymnotiformes; Hypopomidae.